Molecule: ribosomal RNA, 253 nt
Filed under: uncultured bacterium
Lineage: Bacteria
Description: partial 16S ribosomal RNA
Rfam family: Bacterial small subunit ribosomal RNA
Source: RNAcentral
UACGGGGGGGGCAAGCGUUGUUCGGAAUUACUGGGCGUAAAGGGCUCGUAGGCGGCCAACUAAGUCCGACGUGAAAUCCCCAGGCUUAACCUGGGAACUGCGUCGGAUACUGGUUGGCUUGAAUCCGGGAGAGGGUAGUGGAAUUCCCAGUGUAGCGGUGAAAUGCGUAGAUAUUGGGAGGAACACCGGUGGCGAAGGCGGCUACCUGGACCGGUACUGACGCUGAGGCGCGAAAGCUAGGGUAGCAAACAGG